UCUGCCAUUAGGAGUGGUCCAGGCUGAAACUCAGCUGCUCUGAAGAGCAAUAAUUAAAUCAGCAGAGCAUGCUGUCUGCUUCCGGUUCCUUUCACACCUGUCUGCCAGCAGGAUUACUGGGUAAAAGAGGAUCUCGGCUGGGCCCAGACUGAAGUGUCCCCCAGGAAAAGAGACCACACGAUUCUGGAGGAGCUGCUUCCAGCACGUAAAAGAAGUGGGUCUGAGUGGAGCAAAAGAUGGACCAUUGAAGAUGCUGUUAUGAGCAGCUCAGAUGCUUCUUCAGGACUACAGGACUCAUUCCCUCGGCUUCCAGAAGUGUAGCUACCUGAGAACCCCUCAGGAUUGCCUUGGUGAUAGAGAGCUGCCGCACCCCAAAUCACACCCUUUUCCCAGGGCAACCUGCAUCCAAUGACUGGUUGACAUGGGUCUAAAAGCCUGGUACCAUCACAACUCAAGACGACUCUGAUGGUCCACCCCAGCUUCCGGGCUCCCCACAGGGUUGGCAGAGGCCUGUGAUGCCCCUGCACCAGCCCCAGCUUUUCCCUCACUUCAAUCCUGCCUCCUCCUUGCCCUCCUUCCACAGAGCCCAUCUUGAGAGCGCUCCCUAGUAAGGCUUCCACACUGUGUAACCCCGCCCGCCUCCAUCUGGCACAUACUGGCAUAGAGCAACCACCCCCACAUGUGUUUGGUAAAACAAAUACAUCUUUUGAAGUUUGUUCACUGUGUUUGCAUUACCAACUAAAACUUUAAAUAAUAUUAUUAGAGCAGAUUGAAAUGACCCCCUCCCCCUUCCUCAUAGACACAAUCCUCAUGGAGAAGCCCUGGCGUCACCUCCAGGAAGCCCUCGGCAGUGCUGAAAACAAGAGAUUAGGUCAUGGCUUGAGGCAGAAGGGGGUCUGGGGUGGAGUGCCCGACUCUGAUCUGUGCUUCUGCCCCUGCAGCUGGGUGAGCUGAGGCCUCAGCCCACUCCUCCAAUAUCCCCGCCCUCAUCUGUCUGACCCGCCUGCCUCCUCCCUGGGUUGUGUAGGUCAAGUGAGAUCUCCAAAUAUUAUAUUUGGAAGGACAGUUUAAACUGCAAAAAGCUAUGCAAAAAAUAAGUGAGUAUCACUUAGCGAAUGGCCAAUGAAUUGGAUUCACUUCCUGUAUUCGUGGCUAACUCUGGACACUCAUUCCUCUAGUGUUGGAUGAAAUGAGACGUCAGUAUGAUCUGCCCUAAAUACAUCCACUAUUUUCCUCACCUGGUUCAUUUCAAGACUCCAAUACGAUAACAAAUGUGAGUGUGCAUAGGAGUGAUGCACUGUGGGGAGGUGGGGGCAGGAGAGGGUGCGCUUGAGCCAAAAGAGAAGACCCGGGUCCUCUGCUUUCGCCAUCACUUUCCAGCUUGAUGGCCUUGGGCAAAUCACCUAAUUUUUCCUCUGUUAAAUGGGACUGGUAACCCAAGCUCUGCUCUCCAUACAGUUUCAUUUCUUUUUCUUUUUUAAAAGUCAAUGAAAAUAUUUGGACGCAUUUGGGGUAAAUUGAGGCCAAGAGAAUUACAAAGUCCUUACCUCUUACAACCGGAGAAGUUAGACUGAACCCAGGGUCUUGACUCCCAAACGUAGCCUCUUUCCAUGCGGGGUCAAGUAGUAUUAGGACCAGAAGUAACAAUAGGGAUGCUGAUUAUAACAGUGAUCACCGCCACCUUUACAAUAUCUCAGGCCACUUGGCGCGUCUGUCUUCAUUCGAAGCCCCUCUGGGUUAAGGGAGCACAGCCUGGUGAUGUUAUCAAGGUCUUUAUUUCAGACCCAACUCCCCAUCCACCCCUGCUGCCAGGCACCCUUGGGCAGUGCACAACAGCCCAACUCCACUUGGCAGCCCCUGUGGUCAUCACUUGAAGUUUUGAGUUGUUUCUCUGCAGCAGGAGGACUAUAUGCACAACAUGUUACUGUUUUGAAGGCUGUCCCCACAUGGAAAUCAGUGGGCUAGAGUGUAGACUGGCCAAGAAAGAGAGGCACCAACGUGACAGAUAGACAGACAUCUCCUUUUCUAGAUGAGAACAGGGAAAGGAGGGUAGCCUAGAAACAGAGGGAAGAAAGAAAAGGAAGAGAGCCCAGCAUGUGGUUGGGAUUUCAGGGAAGUUCUCAGCUUAGAGAUGAGGAGAAGGCAUUGUCAAACUUCCUGCUGGGGAGGGGACACGGAGAAAGGACAUGGAGAGAAGGGAGCUUUGAAUGUUCCCAGCGGUUCCCAAGGGCAUGUCCAUUCUUGCUGCAAAUGUCCCCCCACAACCAGGAGGUCUGGCCCUGCACAUGGCAGCCCAGAACCCCACUGCACCAGUGGGAAGAGGAGCUGAGCCUUCUAGGGUGAGACAGGAGGUACUGGGCUUCCCGGCACACAAACCCCACUCCCUCCCCUGCCCUUUCUCCCUCCAUGUAUCACACAUCCCUUUCUUCUGGGUGUGGACCAAUGGCAUUUGGCCUGGGUGGAAAGUGCCCCACGCCCUGUGAUACACAGGGCUCCAU
Molecule: non-coding RNA, 2498 nt
Organism: Sus scrofa (pig)
Lineage: Eukaryota; Metazoa; Chordata; Mammalia; Artiodactyla; Suidae
Source: RefSeq, a predicted model, not a curated record